Molecule: ribosomal RNA, 221 nt
Filed under: uncultured bacterium
Lineage: Bacteria
Description: partial 16S ribosomal RNA
Rfam family: Bacterial small subunit ribosomal RNA
Source: RNAcentral
ACUGGGACUGAGACACGGCCCAGACUCCUACGGGAGGCAGCAGUGGGGAAUUUUGGACAAUGGGGGAAACCCUGAUCCAGCAAUGCCGCGUGCAGGAUGAAGGCCUUCGGGUUGUAAACUGCUUUUGCACGGAACGAAAAGUCUUGGGUUAAUACCCUGGGAUCAUGACGGUACCGUAAGAAUAAGCACCGGCUAACUACGUGCCAGCAGCCGCGGUAAUA